UACAGAGGGGGCAAGCGUUGUUCGGAAUUACUGGGCGUAAAGGGCGCGUAGGCUGCCUUCUAAGUCGAACGUGAAAUCCCCGGGCUCAACCCGGGAACUGCGUCCGAGACUGGAAGGCUCGAAUCCGGGAGAGGGAUGUGGAAUUCCAGGUGUAGCGGUGAAAUGCGUAGAUAUCUGGAGGAACAUCGGUGGCGAAGGCGGCAUCCUGGACCGGUAUUGACGCUGAGGCGCGAAAGCCAGGGGAGCAAACGGG
Molecule: ribosomal RNA, 253 nt
Filed under: uncultured bacterium
Lineage: Bacteria
Description: partial 16S ribosomal RNA
Rfam family: Bacterial small subunit ribosomal RNA
Source: RNAcentral